CCGGUGGCGAAGGCGCCCCCUUGGAACGAAGACUGACGUUCAGGUGCGAAAGCGUGGGGGAGCACACAGGGAUUUAGAUACCCUGGUAGUCCACGCCGUAAACGAUGUCGACUUGGAGGUUGUGCCCUUGAGGCGUGGCUUCCGGAGCUAACGCGUUAAGUCGACCGCCGGGGGAGUACGGCCGCAAGGUUAAAACUCAAAUGAAUUGACGGGGGCCCGCACAAGCGGUGGAGCAUGUGGUUUAAUUCGAUGCAACGCGAAGAACCUUACCUGGUCUUGACAUCCACGGAAGUUUUCAGAGAUGAGAAUGUGCCUUCGGGAACCGUGAGACAGGUGCUGCAUGGCUGUCGUCAGCUCGUGUUGUGAAAUGUUGGGUUAAGUCCCGCAACGAGCGCAACCCUUAUCCUUUGUUGCCAGCGGUCCGGCCGGGAACUCAAAGGAGACUGCCAGUGAUAAACUGGAGGAAGGUGGGGAUGACGUCAAGUCAUCAUGGCCCUUACGACCAGGGCUACACACGUGCUACAAUGGCGCAUACAAAGAGAAGCGACCUCGCGAGAGCAAGCGGACCUCAUAAAGUGCGUCGUAGUCCGGAUUGGAGUCUGCAACUCGACUCCAUGAAGUCGGAAUCGCUAGUAAUCGUGGAUCAGAAUGCCACGGUGAAUACGUUCCCGGGCCUUGUACACACCGCCCGUCACACCAUGGGAGUGGGUUGCAAAAGAAGUAGGUAGCUAACCUCGGAGGGCGCAUAC
Molecule: ribosomal RNA, 749 nt
Filed under: Escherichia coli
Lineage: Bacteria; Pseudomonadati; Pseudomonadota; Gammaproteobacteria; Enterobacterales; Enterobacteriaceae
Description: bacterial SSU rRNA
Rfam family: Bacterial small subunit ribosomal RNA
Source: RNAcentral